CAGGACUUUAAUCAUAGGUUCAUUUUAUCUUAAUCUGAGGUUAAUCCCAGGACUUUAAUCAUAGGUUUAUCUUAAUCUGAGGUUAAUCCCAGGACUUUAAUCAUAGGUUUAUCUUAAUCUGAGGUUAAUCCCAGGACUUUAAUCCUAGGUUUAUCUUAAUCUGAGGUUAAUCCCAGGACUUUAAUCAUAGGUUCAUUUUAUCUCAAUCUGAGGUUAAUCCCAGGACUUUAAUCAUAGGUUCAUUUUAUCUUAAUCUGAGGUUAAUCCCAGGACUUUAAUCAUAGGUUUAUCUUAAUCUGAGGUUAAUCCCAGGACUUCAAUCAUAGGUUCAUUUUAUCUCAAUCUGAGGUUAAUCCCAGGACUUUAAUCAUAGGUUCAUUUUAUCUUAAUCUGAGGUUAAUCCCAGGACUUUAAUCAUAGGUUUAUCUUAAUCUGAGGUUAAUCCCAGGACUUUAAUCAUAGGUUCAUUUUAUCUUAAUCUGAGGUUAAUCCCAGGACUUUAAUCAUAGGUUCAU
Molecule: long non-coding RNA, 515 nt
Organism: Melanotaenia boesemani (Boeseman's rainbowfish)
Lineage: Eukaryota; Metazoa; Chordata; Actinopteri; Atheriniformes; Melanotaeniidae
Exons: 7
Source: RefSeq, a predicted model, not a curated record